Molecule: long non-coding RNA, 452 nt
Filed under: Ananas comosus (pineapple)
Lineage: Eukaryota; Viridiplantae; Streptophyta; Magnoliopsida; Poales; Bromeliaceae
Description: long non-coding RNA (ACOM_LNC038792)
Source: RNAcentral
AUUGCCAUUAUAUGUUGCAUGUUGAUAUAUUGAUAUUAUGCAAUGUAGAAGGUUUUUUAUUGGCUUUUCGUGCGCACACUCUAUUGUACCACAUGAACUUACCGACAAAUCAACAACAUAUAAAACUAAUAUUGUAAAACACUUAUAGCCAAACUUUUUUUUUUAUAUUCAAUAUAAUUUAAGUAAAAACAUUCAGAAUAUGCUUGAACUAUGUACCAUUUUGAUUCUACUAUUACCCCCAAAAUAAAUCUGACUUCAAAAUUUAAGCUAAUUAUUUAAUUUAGUGAAUUUAUAGCUGUGAAAAUUAUAUAAAAAAAUACUAACUAAGCUUGUAAUGAUAAAUGAUGUAUUUAGAUUUUAAAAUUAAAAUGUUAUUGGCUGAAUCAAAUUAAAUAAAUUGGAGGCUCACUAGUAGAAUCAAACUUUGAAAGUUUGGAUAGCCAAAUCAAAAU